CAAUAGCGUAUAUUUAAGUUGCUGCAGUUAAAAAGCCCGUAGUUGGAUUUCGGGUGGGAAUGGCCGGUCCGCCGUUUCGGUGUGCACUUGCUACGCCCACCUUGCUGCCGGGGACGUGCUCUUGAGUUCACGCUCGGGACACGGAGUCGGCGAGGUUACUUUGAGUAAAUUAGAGUGUUCAAAGCAGGCCUACGCUCUGAAUACAUUAGCAUGGAAUAACACGAUAGGACUCUGGCCUAUCUUGUUGGUCUGUAGGACCGGAGUAAUGAUUAAGAGGGACAGUCGGGGGCAUUCGUAUUUCAUUGUCAGAGGUGAAAUUCUUGGAUUUAUGUAAGACGAACUACUGCGAAAGCAUUUGCCAAGGAUGUUUUCAUUAA
This 377-nucleotide ribosomal RNA is filed under the name uncultured eukaryote. RNAcentral's name for it is "partial 18S ribosomal RNA". It matches the Rfam family "Eukaryotic small subunit ribosomal RNA", at positions 592 to 976 of the family's 1831-position model. The record is from RNAcentral.